CUUAUGUCUACAGCUGCCUUUUUACUGAUAACAAAGUUUUGAUUAAAGUUGUAUUGGCGUCGCUAAUAAAUUGGCAUUUUACAGAUGUUAUAAACAUGUCACAACAAUCAGUGACUGGAUAGCAAGGACAAUAGUGGGAUUUUCAAAACAAUAAAAGGACAAUGGAAGAUUCUGAUCACUGGGUCAUGACUGGAUGACAUGGAGAACAGUGAGAUUUUCAAAACAAUGAAAAGACAAUGGAACAUUCUGAUCACUGGAUCAUGACUGGAUGACAUGGAGAACAGUGAGAUUUUCAAAACAAUGAAAAGACAAUGGAACAUUUUGAUCACUGGAUCAUGACUGGAUGGCAUGGAGAACAGUGGGAUUUUCAAAACAAUGAAAAGACAAUGGAACAUUCUGAUCACUGGAUCAUGACUGGAUGGCAUGAAGAACAGCGAGAUUUUCAAAACAAUGAAAAGACAAUGGAACAUUCCGAUCACUGGAUCAUGACUGGAUGGCAUGGAGAACAGUGGGAUUUUCAAAACAAUGAAAAGACAAUGGUACAUUCUGAUCACUGGAACAUGACUAGAUGGCAUGGAGAACAGUGGGAUUUUCAAAACAAUGAAAAGACAAUGGAACAUUCUGAUCACUGGAUCAUGACUGGAUGGCAUGGAGAACAGUGGGAUUGUCAAAACAAUGAAAAGACAAUGGAACAUUUUGAUCACUGGAUCAUGACAGGAUGGCAUGGAGAACAGUGGGAUUUUCAAAACAAUGAAAAGACAAUGGAACAUUCUGACCACUGGAUCAUGACUGGAUGGCAUGGAGAACAGUGGGAUUUUCAAAACAAUGAAAAGGCAAUAGAACAUUCUGAUCACUGGAUCAUGACUGGAUGACAUGGAGAACAGUGGGAUUUUCAAAACAAUGAAAAGACAAUAGAACAUUCUGAUCACUGGAUCAUGGCUGGAUGACAUGGAGAACAGUGGGAUUUUCAAAACAAUUAAAAGACAAUGGGAC
This is a non-coding RNA of Paramuricea clavata, 993 nucleotides long. The record is from the annotation of a GenBank genome assembly. NCBI's taxonomy places the organism in Eukaryota, Metazoa, Cnidaria, Anthozoa, Malacalcyonacea, Plexauridae.